GUAGGUGGCAAGCGUUGUCCGGAAUUAUUGGGCGUAAAGCGCGCGCAGGCGGUCCUUUAAGUCUGAUGUGAAAGCCCACGGCUCAACCGUGGAGAGUCAUUGGAAACUGGGGGACUUGAGUACAGAAGAGGAAAGCGGAAUUCCAAGUGUAGCGGUGAAAUGCGUAGAGAUUUGGAGGAACACCAGUGGCGAAGGCGGCUUUCUGGUCUGUAACUGACGCUGAGGCGCGAAACGCGUGGGGAGCAAACAGGGAUUAGAUACCCGUGGUAGUCCACGCCGUAAACGAUGAGUGCUAAGUGUUAGGGGGUUUCCGCCCCCCUUAGUGCUGCAGCUAACGCAUUAAGCACUCCGCCUGGGGAUACGGCCGCAAGGCUG
This 375-nucleotide ribosomal RNA is filed under the name uncultured organism. RNAcentral's name for it is "partial 16S ribosomal RNA". It matches the Rfam family "Bacterial small subunit ribosomal RNA", at positions 527 to 896 of the family's 1533-position model. The record is from RNAcentral.